GACGAACGCUGGCGGCGUGCUUAACACAUGCAAGUCGAACGGAAAGGCCCUGCUUUUGUGGGGUGCUCGAGUGGCGAACGGGUGAGUAACACGUGAGUAACCUGCCCUUGACUUUGGGAUAACUUCAGGAAACUGGGGCUAAUACCGGAUAGGAGCUCCUGCUGCAUGGUGGGGGUUGGAAAGUUUCGGCGGUUGGGGAUGGACUCGCGGCUUAUCAGCUUGUUGGUGGGGUAGUGGCUUACCAAGGCUUUGACGGGUAGCCGGCCUGAGAGGGUGACCGGCCACAUUGGGACUGAGAUACGGCCCAGACUCCUACGGGAGGCAGCAGUGGGGAAUAUUGCACAAUGGGCGGAAGCCUGAUGCAGCAACGCCGCGUGCGGGAUGACGGCCUUCGGGUUGUAAACCGCUUUCGCCUGUGACGAAGCGUGAGUGACGGUAAUGGGUAAAGAAGCACCGGCUAACUACGUGCCAGCAGCCGCGGUGAUACGUAGGGUGCGAGCGUUGUCCGGAUUUAUUGGGCGUAAAGGGCUCGUAGGUGGUUGAUCGCGUCGGAAGUGUAAUCUUGGGGCUUAACCCUGAGCGUGCUUUCGAUACGGGUUGACUUGAGGAAGGUAGGGGAGAAUGGAAUUCCUGGUGGAGCGGUGGAAUGCGCAGAUAUCAGGAGGAACACCAGUGGCGAAGGCGGUUCUCUGGGCCUUUCCUGACGCUGAGGAGCGAAAGCGUGGGGAGCGAACAGGCUUAGAUACCCUGGUAGUCCACGCUGUAAACGGUGGGUACUAGGUGUGGGGUCCAUUCCACGGGUUCCGUGCCGUAGCUAACGCUUUAAGUACCCCGCCUGGGGAGUACGGCCGCAAGGCUAAAACUCAAAGGAAUUGACGGGGCCCCGCACAAGCGGCGGAGCAUGCGGAUUAAUUCGAUGCAACGCGUAGAACCUUACCUGGGUUUGACAUGGAUCGGGAGUGCUCAGAGAUGGGUGUGCCUCUUUUGGGGUCGGUUCACAGGUGGUGCAUGGCUGUCGUCAGCUCGUGUCGUGAGAUGUUGGGUUAAGUCCCGCAACGAGCGCAACCCUUGUUCACUGUUGCCAGCACGUUAUGGUGGGGACUCAGUGGAGACCGCCGGGGUCAACUCGGAGGAAGGUGGGGAUGACGUCAAGUCAUCAUGCCCCUUAUGUCCAGGGCUUCACGCAUGCUACAAUGGCUGGUACAGAGAGUGGCGAGCCUGUGAGGGUGAGCGAAUCUCGGAAAGCCGGUCUCAGUUCGGAUUGGGGUUUGCAACUCGACCUCGUGAAGUCGGAGUCGCUAGUAAUCGCAGAUCAGCAACGCUGCGGUGAAUAAGUUCCCGGGGCU
RNAcentral lists this ribosomal RNA (1346 nucleotides) under uncultured bacterium. RNAcentral describes it as "partial 16S ribosomal RNA". It matches the Rfam family "Bacterial small subunit ribosomal RNA", at positions 28 to 1381 of the family's 1533-position model. The record is from RNAcentral.